UAUGUUAUUUCUUAGAUUUAUGCCUUAUGUAUACAUAUGAAAUAUUUUUGAAUAUGAGCAUUUGCAUACUUGUUUGUUAUGUUUAUCAUUAUCGAGUGAUGAUGUUUGGAUUAGCGAUAUUUUAAAUGGAUUGAGAUUGAAUGGAUGAUUGGUUUCGUGUUACAGGAACAAGGUUUUGAUGUAGAAGUAUACUCGAGGGUUGAUUUUGGCUCGAUUAGUAUGAUGUGGAAGGAAGAAAAGGAAGACGAAGAAGAAACAGUAUUAUCUGUAUAUCGUCUGUAAAUGACUGAACAUGCACACUUUAGCAUGGGUGGUUGUUUUCAUUUGAAUUCUUCGUUCAAGGAGAUAUGCGUGUUCUUUUUCGAAUAUAUGGCUACUUAUUGUUCUUCUGACUGUAAUAUUUGUGUUUAACUGCACAGUUGCUAUCAACUUUGCCUUUUCCUUGCGUCUCUUGGGGUUUACUUGAACAUGUUUUGGUAUGUUCUAGUCUUGCAAAUUAUGGCUUUUGUUAUUUCUACCAUUCAAAUUAUUAGCUGAGUUGGACAUUCUUUUUCCUUGUUACUGUUCAAAUUACCAGUUGAUUGGUUAGUUGAAUUAAUGUAGAUGUUAUCAGGAAGUCCAUAACUGUGAAGAAUCAUGUAGCCGAUUAUCAAAUUUGUGAAGAGUUUGUCUCGACUAUAAAUUGUAGAGAAAAGAAAUACCCCGAUAUAUGUCAAACAUAAGAAUUUGGGCAAACAAUAAGAUGAUUCUUGAGGUGCUUAUGGUACUUGU
RNAcentral lists this long non-coding RNA (771 nucleotides) under Olea europaea (common olive). RNAcentral's name for it is "long non-coding RNA (OEUR_LNC014694)". The record is from RNAcentral. Lineage: Eukaryota; Viridiplantae; Streptophyta; Magnoliopsida; Lamiales; Oleaceae.